This 2032-nucleotide long non-coding RNA is filed under the name Canis lupus familiaris (dog). RNAcentral's name for it is "lncRNA (ENSCAFG00000052586.1)". Lineage: Eukaryota; Metazoa; Chordata; Mammalia; Carnivora; Canidae. The record is from RNAcentral.
CUCUGAGUCCCCACACAUCAUACGGCUCUUCCCCUGCACGGCUCCCUGAGGCUCUGGGGCCUGGGACUCAUCCUCCCAGAGCACACCUGCCCCCCUCAACAGGGUCCCUGCAGAGUGUCCCCUGGUCUCCCCGUUUACCUCUAAAUGUAUCCCAUCAGGUCUCUGUCCUUAGGACAUCACUCAUUUUAGAAACAAGUCCAUUUAAAAUUGUGUUUCCUUUGUAUCUUUGAAGCCCACCCUGGAUUCUCAGCACCUGCUUCCCUUCCAUCUCCUUUCCCCUUCUCCACCCCCCCCAUUAUAUUUUUUAUUGAAGGCCGAGCUGAGCCAUUGCAGGAUCAUGGGCCCAUUACGCCCCUAACAAUUCCAUUUGCACUGUAUUGUUUGUCUCAUUGCUUGGAAAUUCAGGUGAUUCAUCAUGCCUGAAGAAGCACCUGAUCCCAGCUGCCCCAGGAGCCUGGUCACUAUGUGACAGGAAUGCCAUAGGCGCUGAGGCGGGGGGCGCGGGGGCACGCGGCUUCUCAAGUGUUGAUGAGUUCCAUUCUGUGACGCUGCCCCCGCUCUGUCCACAGCCCCCUGAGCCCAGGAGAUGGGAAGGAGCUGCUGGUGAGCGUCGCGCGUCUCCUGGAGGUGCCGAUGAGCGUCUUCGCAGACAUCACUGUUCUGGGCCCAGCGGUGACCUUCAGGGUGAGCGCCAGCAUCUGGAACCUGACGACAGCAGACGUGGUGCAGGCCACAGGCAUGAUAGGAACGGUGUCUGCACGUGGCAGCGGCUUAGGCACGCCAGCUGUCAUCAUCAGCAUGGUGGCCAGUAGACGAGCUUCUGAUUCACACUGGACCCCAGAGACGGAGAGGGGCCACCCCACCACGUGCAGAGCGAGACGGAGUGGUUUCUAUCCCCGAGGCUCAAGAUGCAUCAAUAGGAAGAUUUCACUGCACUGACUCCGACACCUGCUCCCGCCCCCUCCCCUGGACAAGUGGCUGUGGUGCCAAGUACCCAUGCAUCCCCAUCUCUCCUCUUCCAUCAACCCAGGCCAGGAGCUGGGAUACUGCAGGAGGCAUUACCCAGGUUGCUGGGACCUUUACUGCCAAAAAGUGAAAAAUAGGAAAUAAGAAUUUGAACAUCUUUCCAAUUUAUGUUUUUUUAAUAAAAACCUUAAUUCUCCAGCCGUGUGGAGCCUCGUGGCAUGGGGACUAGCUUAGCUUUACUCACUCGUGGCAUCUUUGCCAGAAACAUAUGCACCCUUGCUGCACAUGAAGUGACUGGUUUCUAGAAAGCCCGAGUCAUGUCCGGGGUCUCCAGUUGUGUGUCAGCCAUUGGAGGGUUUAGCCUGAGACCCCGGUCGCUUUGGGGCUGAUACCCGUGUGUGUGUUCACCCCUGGUGGAACCACGGACCUCGCUUUGUUCUUCAAAUAGGGACAUUUACUGAAAAACCCUCCAAUGAUCAUCCAGCUGGAUCUCAGUCAUGUCCUAGGAGGUCAAUGGGGUUUCACUCAGCGUCUCUGGCUACCCUCCACACCUGCCAUCUUCUCAGCUAGCAUGCUUCUUGGAGUGGCUUCCAGGUGGUCCUCGUGAGAAGGCCCAGUCCUCAUGAGAAGGCCCAGUCCUCGUGUCUUGUCAUGGUCAGGCUGGACAUUGGCAACCUGUGUGCAGAAGAGGACGUCAUCUGUGCCGCAGUGAGGCUGGUGAUCAGGGACACGAGCAGCCUGGGCGCAUGGCUGAGGGAGCCCCUGUGCUUGUCCCAGAGUGGCCCUGGGUCCCUGUGGAAGCACAGCCUCCUGCCCCAUUGCAGCCUGAUCCACGUGUUCCUGUGGAAUAUGGGGUGCGGGGCCUUCUCACAGGGACUGGAGUGCCCUGCCCCUCCUGCCGUGGCUGCCCCAUCCGCGCCCAGGGUGCAAAUAAUGUAGAACUGGCUCCUGAAUGUUCCCUCUGUAGUAGGAACCAGGACACGUGUCAGAUGCUGCUGUUUUUACUGUCUGUGGAGGUGAGGCCUCUGAAGGGCGAGGGAGCAGGACUCUGACGGAUGGAGCCUUG